GCGCGAAAACUUUACAAUGCGGGAAACCGUGAUAGGGGAACUCCGAGUGCCCGUUAAAUCGGGCUGUCCACCAGUUUAAAUAACUGGUGAAGAAAGGGCCGGGCAAGACCGGUGCCAGCCGCCGCGGUAAUACAGGCGGCUCGAGUGGUGGCCACUAUUACUGGGCUUAAAGCGUUCGUAGCUGGGUUGUUAAGUCUCUGGGGAAAUCUUCCGGCUUAACCGGAAGGCGGCGCAGGGAUACUGGCAGACUAGGGACCGGGAGAGGUGAGGGGUACUCCAGGGGUAGGAGUGUAAUCCUGUAAUCCUUGGGGGACCACCUGUGGCGAAGGCGCCUCACCAGAACGGCUCCGACAGUGAGGGGCGAAAGCUGGGGGAGCAAACC
This 382-nucleotide ribosomal RNA is filed under the name uncultured prokaryote. Its description in RNAcentral is "bacterial SSU rRNA". It matches the Rfam family "Archaeal small subunit ribosomal RNA", at positions 339 to 725 of the family's 1478-position model. The record is from RNAcentral.